This 253-nucleotide ribosomal RNA is filed under the name uncultured bacterium. RNAcentral's name for it is "partial 16S ribosomal RNA". It matches the Rfam family "Bacterial small subunit ribosomal RNA", at positions 524 to 776 of the family's 1533-position model. The record is from RNAcentral.
UACAGAGGUCCCAAGCGUUGUUCGGAUUCACUGGGCGUAAAGGGUGCGUAGGUGGUUGUGCAAGUCUGAUGUGAAAUCUCCGGGCUUAACCCGGAAAUGGCAUUGGAAACUGCAUGGCUAGAGGGUUGGAGGGGGGACUGGAAUACUUGGUGUAGCAGUGAAAUGCGUAGAUAUCAAGUGGAACACCAGUGGCGAAGGCGGCUUGCCAGAACGCGCUCGACGGUGAGGGAUGAAAGCUGGGGGAGCAAACCGG